ACUUAAAUAAUAUAAAAAAAAUUAUACUUGAUUUCCAAUCAAGAAAUCUAAACCAUAGUUUAAGUA
This 66-nucleotide transfer RNA is filed under the name Scolytinae sp. BMNH 1043001. RNAcentral's name for it is "tRNA-Gly". The record is from RNAcentral. Lineage: Eukaryota; Metazoa; Arthropoda; Insecta; Coleoptera; Curculionidae.